CCUACGGGGUGCAGCAGUGGGGAAUAUUGGACAAUGGGCGAAAGCCUGAUCCAGUCAUGCCGCGUGUGUGAAGAAGGCCUUCGGGUUGUAAAGCACUUUCAGUGGGGAAGAAAGCCUUGGGGCUAAUACCCUCGAGGAAGGACAUCACCCACAGAAGAAGCACCGGCUAACUCCGUGCCAGCAGCCGCGGUAAUACGGAGGGUGCGAGCGUUAAUCGGAAUUACUGGGCGUAAAGCGCGCGUAGGCGGUCUGAUAAGCCGGUUGUGAAAGCCCCGGGCUCAACCUGGGAACGGCAUCCGGAACUGUCAGGCUAGAGUGCAGGAGAGGAAGGUAGAAUUCCCGGUGUAGCGGUGAAAUGCGUAGAGAUCGGGAGGAAUACCAGUGGCGAAGGCGGCCUUCUGGACUGACACUGACGCUGAGGUGCGAAAGCGUGGGUAGCAAACAGGAUUAGAUACCCUUGUAGUC
RNAcentral lists this ribosomal RNA (465 nucleotides) under Vreelandella stevensii. RNAcentral's name for it is "partial 16S ribosomal RNA". It matches the Rfam family "Bacterial small subunit ribosomal RNA", at positions 338 to 795 of the family's 1533-position model. The record is from RNAcentral. Lineage: Bacteria; Pseudomonadati; Pseudomonadota; Gammaproteobacteria; Oceanospirillales; Halomonadaceae.